GAUGAACGCUGGCGGCGUGCCUAAUACAUGCAAGUCGAGCGAAUGGAUUGAGAGCUUGCUCUUAUGAAGUUAGCGGCGGACGGGUGAGUAACACGUGGGUAACCUGCCCAUAAGACUGGGAUAACUCCGGGAAACCGGGGCUAAUACCGGAAAACAUUUUGAACCGCAUGGUUCGAAAUUGAAAGGCGGCUUCGGCUGUCACUUAUGGAUGGACCCGCGUCGCAUUAGCUAGUUGGUGAGGUAACGGCUCACCAAGGCAACGAUGCGUAGCCGACCGGAGAGGGUGAUCGGCCACACUGGGACUGAGAAACGGCCCAGACUCCUACGGGAGGCAGCAGUAGGGAAUCUUCCGCAAUGGACGAAAGUCUGACGGAGCAACGCCGCGUGAGUGAUGAAGGCUUUCGGGUCGUAAAACUCUGUUGUUAGGGAAGAACAAGUGCUAGUUGAGUAAGCUGGCACCUUGACGGUACCUAACCAGAAAGCCACGGCUAACUACGUGCCAGCCGCCGCAGUAA
Molecule: ribosomal RNA, 515 nt
Filed under: uncultured bacterium
Lineage: Bacteria
Description: partial 16S ribosomal RNA
Rfam family: Bacterial small subunit ribosomal RNA
Source: RNAcentral